UGGCUCAGGACGAACGCUGGCGGCGUGCCUAAUACAUGCAAGUCGAGCGGAAUCGAUGGAGUGCUUGCACUCCUGAGAUUUAGCGGCGGACGGGUGAGUAACACGUAGGCAACCUGCCCUCAAGACUGGGAUAACUACCGGAAACGGUAGCUAAUACCGGAUAGGAUAUUUGGCUGCAUGGCCGAAUAUGGAAAGGCGGAGCAAUCUGUCACUUGAGGAUGGGCCUGCGGCGCAUUAGCUAGUUGGUGGGGUAAUGGCCUACCAAGGCGACGAUGCGUAGCCGACCUGAGAGGGUGAACGGCCACACUGGGACUGAGACACGGCCCAGACUCCUACGGGAGGCAGCAGUAGGGAAUCUUCCGCAAUGGACGAAAGUCUGACGGAGCAACGCCGCGUGAGUGAUGAAGGUUUUCGGAUCGUAAAGCUCUGUUGCCAGGGAAGAACGCCAGAGAGAGUAACUGCUCUUUGGGUGACGGUACCUGAGAAGAAAGCCCCGGCUAACUACGUGCCAGCAGCCGCGGUAAUACGUAGGGGGCAAGCGUUGUCCGGAAUUAUUGGGCGUAAAGCGCGCGCAGGCGGUUCUUUAAGUCUGGUGUUUAAACCCGGAGCUUAACUUCGGGACGCACUGGAAACUGGGGAACUUGAGUGCAGAAGAGGAGAGUGGAAUUCCACGUGUAGCGGUGAAAUGCGUAGAUAUGUGGAGGAACACCAGUGGCGAAGGCGACUCUCUGGGCUGUAACUGACGCUGAGG
RNAcentral lists this ribosomal RNA (751 nucleotides) under Paenibacillus campinasensis. Its description in RNAcentral is "bacterial SSU rRNA". It matches the Rfam family "Bacterial small subunit ribosomal RNA", at positions 20 to 751 of the family's 1533-position model. The record is from RNAcentral. Lineage: Bacteria; Bacillati; Bacillota; Bacilli; Caryophanales; Paenibacillaceae.